AAAGAAACUAACAAGGAUUCCCUUAGUAACUGCGAGUGAAGAGGGAAGAGCUCAAAUUUAAAAUCUGGCAGUGUUUUGCUGUCCGAGUUGUAAUCUAGAGAAGUGCUGCCCGUGCUGGACCAUGUACAAGUCUCCUGGAAUGGAGCGUCACAGAGGGUGAGAAUCCCGUCUUUGACAUGGACUACCAGUGCAUUUGUGGUGUGCUCUCAAAGAGUCGAGUUGUUUGGGAAUGCAGCUCUAAAUGGGUGGUAAACUCCAUCUAAAGCUAAAUAUUGGCGAGAGACCGAUAGCGAACAAGUACCGUGAGGGAAAGAUGAAAAGAACUUUGGAAAGAGAGUUAAACAGUAUGUGAAAUUGUUGAAAGGGAAACGCUUAAAGUCAGUCGUGUCGGCCAGGGAUCAACUCAGCUUUCUCUGCUGGGUGUACUUCCUGAUCUGAUGGGCCAACAUCAGUUUUGACUGCUGGAGAAGGAUAGAGGGAAUGUGGCACCUUCGGGUGUGUUAUAGCUCUUUGUCAGAUGCAGUGGUUGGGACUGAGGAAAGCAGCAUGCCGCAAGGCCGGGUCGUUUCGACCACGUUCAUGCUGAGGAUGUUGGCAUAAUGGCUUUAAUCGACCCGUCUUGA
Molecule: ribosomal RNA, 623 nt
Filed under: Amanita regalis
Lineage: Eukaryota; Fungi; Basidiomycota; Agaricomycetes; Agaricales; Amanitaceae
Description: LSU rRNA
Rfam family: Eukaryotic large subunit ribosomal RNA
Source: RNAcentral